GAGUUUGAUCGUGGCUCAGAUUGAACGCUGGCGGCAGGCCUAACACAUGCAAGUCGAGCGGAUGACGGGAGCUUGCUCCUUGAUUCAGCGGCGGACGGGUGAGUAAUGCCUAGGAAUCUGCCUGGUAGUGGGGGACAACGUUUCGAAAGGAACGCUAAUACCGCAUACGUCCUACGGGAGAAAGCAGGGGACCUUCGGGCCUUGCGCUAUCCGAUGAGCCUAGGUCGGAUUAGCUAGUUGGUGGGGUAAUGGCUCACCAAGGCGACAAUCCGUAACUGGUCUGAGAGGAUGAUCAGUCACACUGGAACUGAGACACGGUCCAGACUCCUACGGGAGGCAGCAGUGGGGAAUAUUGGACAAUGGGCGAAAGCCUGAUCCAGCCAUGCCGCGUGUGUGAAGAAGGUCUUCGGAUUGUAAAGCACUUUAAGUUGGGAGGAAGGGCAGUAAGUUAAUACCUUGCUGUUUUGACGUUACCGACAGAAUAAGCACCGGCUAACUCUGUGCCAGCAGCCGACCG
RNAcentral lists this ribosomal RNA (517 nucleotides) under bacterium enrichment culture clone ALO1_GLFRUDD03GJZ7R. RNAcentral's name for it is "bacterial SSU rRNA". It matches the Rfam family "Bacterial small subunit ribosomal RNA", at positions 9 to 520 of the family's 1533-position model. The record is from RNAcentral.